RNAcentral lists this ribosomal RNA (600 nucleotides) under uncultured bacterium. RNAcentral's name for it is "bacterial SSU rRNA". It matches the Rfam family "Bacterial small subunit ribosomal RNA", at positions 99 to 717 of the family's 1533-position model. The record is from RNAcentral.
CGACGGUAGUAUACAUACGACGUACCUGUCGUGGGGAUACUACCGAAGUUGUUAUACGGAUACGACUGAGGNUAAGCGGGGAACGAGGCCUCGCGCGAUAGAGCGCCGAUUUCGAUACUAUUUGUAGGUAAGCCUACCAGGGACAAUCGGUACUGUCUGAAAGGAUUAUCACCACCUGGACUGAAACACGCCCAAUUCCUACGGGAGGGCAGCAGUGGGGAUUUUGGACAAUGGGGGGCAACCCUGAUCCAGCCAUUCCGCGUGAGUAAGAAGGUCUUCGGGUUGUAAAGCUCUUUCGGCAGGAACGAAACGGUUCUCUCUAACAUAGGGGGCUAUGAACGGUACCUGAAGAAAAGCACCGGUUAACUACGUGCCAGCAGCCGGGUAAAUACGUAGGUGCGAGCGUUAAUCGGAAUUACUGGGCGUAAAGCGUGCGCAGGCGGUUUUGUAAGACAGAUUUUGAAUCCCCCGGGGCUAACCUGGGGAAAUUGCGUUUGGUGACUGCCAAGAAAUUGGAAUUGCCGGCCAAAAGGGGGGUUGGAAUUCCCCGUUUUACCAGUGAAAUUUGCGUUAAAAUUUUGGAGGGAACACCGAUUGGCG